RNAcentral lists this ribosomal RNA (253 nucleotides) under uncultured bacterium. Its description in RNAcentral is "partial 16S ribosomal RNA". It matches the Rfam family "Bacterial small subunit ribosomal RNA", at positions 524 to 776 of the family's 1533-position model. The record is from RNAcentral.
GACAGAGGGUGCAAACGUUGUUCGGAAUUACUGGGCGUAAAGCGUGCGUAGGUGGUUUGUUAAGUCUGAUGUGAAAGCCCUGGGCUCAACCUGGGAACUGCAUUGGAAACUGGCUGACUAGAGUGCGGUAGAGGGGUGUGGAAUUCCCGGUGUAGCAGUGAAAUGCGUAGAUAUGCGGAGGAACACCGAUGGCGAAGGCAAUCCCCUGGGCCUGCACUGACGCUCAUGCACGAAAGCGUGGGGAGCAAACAGG